ACAUGACCCGAUCAAUUCGAUCAGGCACUCGCCAUCUAUUUUCAUUGUUCAACUCUUUGACAACAUGAAAAAACCAAAAGCUCUGCCCUCCCUCUCUAUCUAU
RNAcentral lists this ribosomal RNA (103 nucleotides) under Podophyllum sinense. Its description in RNAcentral is "Diphylleia sinensis 4.5S ribosomal RNA". The record is from RNAcentral. Lineage: Eukaryota; Viridiplantae; Streptophyta; Magnoliopsida; Ranunculales; Berberidaceae.